AUACAGAGGGUGCGAGCGUUAAUCGGAAUUACUGGGCGUAAAGCGCGCGUAGGCGGCUACUUAAGUCAGAUGUGAAAUCCCCGGGCUCAACCUGGGAACUGCAUCUGAUACUGGGUAGCUAGAGUUUAGGAGAGGGAAGUAGAAUUUCAGGUGUAGCGGUGAAAUGCAUAGAUAUCUGAAGGAAUACCAGUGGCGAAGGCGGCUUCCUGGCCUAAAACUGACGCUGAGGUGCGAAAGCGUGGGUAGCAAACGGGAUUAGAAACCCCAGUAGUCC
RNAcentral lists this ribosomal RNA (274 nucleotides) under uncultured bacterium. Its description in RNAcentral is "partial 16S ribosomal RNA". It matches the Rfam family "Bacterial small subunit ribosomal RNA", at positions 523 to 796 of the family's 1533-position model. The record is from RNAcentral.